Molecule: unclassified non-coding RNA, 361 nt
Filed under: soil metagenome
Description: partial contains 5.8S ribosomal RNA, internal transcribed spacer 2, and large subunit ribosomal RNA
Rfam family: 5.8S ribosomal RNA (bases 1-120)
Source: RNAcentral
GAUGAAGAACGCAGCGAAAUGCGAUAAGUAAUGUGAAUUGCAGAAUUCAGUGAAUCAUCGAAUCUUUGAACGCACAUUGCGCCCGCCAGCAUUCUGGCGGGCAUGCCUGUCCGAGCGUCAUUUCAACCCUCAGGGUCCCUCCGCCUCGCGCGGUCGGAGCCUGGUGUUGGGGAUCGCCCGCCCCGCGCGGCGCCGUCCCCCAAAUACAGUGGCGGUCCCGCCGCAGCCUCCCCUGCGCAGUAGUUAUCAACUCGCACUGGAGCGCGGCGCGGCCACGCCGUAAAACCCCCGACUUUUAGAAAGUUGACCUCGGAUCAGGUAGGAAUACCCGCUGAACUUAAGCAUAUCAAUAAGCGGAGGA